This 215-nucleotide unclassified non-coding RNA is filed under the name plant metagenome. Its description in RNAcentral is "partial contains small subunit ribosomal RNA, internal transcribed spacer 1, and 5.8S ribosomal RNA". The stretch from base 1 to 54 matches the Rfam family "Eukaryotic small subunit ribosomal RNA", at positions 1778 to 1831 of the family's 1831-position model. The record is from RNAcentral.
GGAAGUAAAAGUCGUAACAUGGUCUCCGUUGGUGAACCAGCGGAGGGAUCAUUACAGGACUCGCAAGACUCCUUACACCCUGUGAACCUUACUGUAUACGCGUUGCUUCGGCGGGUCCGCCCGCCGGCAGCAUACCACAUUCUGUUUCUCUGCGUUGGCAUCUCGAGAAAAAAGCAAAUAAGUUAAAACUUUCAACAACGGAUCUCUUGGUUCUG